CCUACGGGGGGCAGCAGUGGGGAAUAUUGCACAAUGGGCGAAAGCCUGAUGCAGCAACGCCGCGUGAGCGAUGAAGGUCUUCGGGUCGUAAAUCGCUGUCCUAAGGGAAGAAUACUUACGGUACCUUAGGAGGAAGCCCCGGCUAUCUACGUGCCAGCAGCCGCGGUACUACGUAGGGGGCUAGCGUUAUCCGGAAUUACUGGGCGUAAAGGGUGCGUAGGCCGCCCUUUAAGUCAGGGGUGAAAGGCUACGGCUCAACCGUAGUAAGUCUUUGAAACUGUAUGGCUUGAGUGCAGGAGAAGAAGCAGGAAUUCCCAGUGUAGCGGUGAAAUGCCUAGAUAUUGGGAGGAACCCAAGUUGCGAAGGCGGCUUUAUGGACUGUAACUGACGCUGAGGCACGAAAGCGUGGGGAGCGAACAGGAUUAGAGACCCCUGUAGUC
RNAcentral lists this ribosomal RNA (440 nucleotides) under uncultured bacterium. Its description in RNAcentral is "bacterial SSU rRNA". It matches the Rfam family "Bacterial small subunit ribosomal RNA", at positions 338 to 795 of the family's 1533-position model. The record is from RNAcentral.